RNAcentral lists this ribosomal RNA (468 nucleotides) under uncultured bacterium. RNAcentral describes it as "partial 16S ribosomal RNA". It matches the Rfam family "Bacterial small subunit ribosomal RNA", at positions 28 to 507 of the family's 1533-position model. The record is from RNAcentral.
GACGAACGCUGGCGGCGUGCUUAACACAUGCAAGUCGAACGGAAAGGCCCUGCUUUUGUGGGGUGCUCGAGUGGCGAACGGGUGAGUAACACGUGAGUAACCUGCCCUUGACUUUGGGAUAACUUCAGGAAACUGGGGCUAAUACCGGAUAGGAGCUCCUGCUGCAUGGUGGGGGUUGGAAAGUUUCGGCGGGUGGGGAUGGACUCGCGGCUUAUCAGCUUGUUGGUGGGGUAGUGGCUUACCCAGGCUUUGACGGGUAGCCGGCCUGAGAGGGUGACCGGCCACAUUGGGACUGAGAUACGGCCCAGACUCCUACGGGAGGCAGCAGUGGGGAAUAUUGCACAAUGGGCGGAAGCCUGAUGCAGCAACGCCGCGUGCGGGAUGACGGCCUUCGGGUUGUAAACCGCUUUCGCCUGUGACGAAGCGUGAGUGACGGUAAUGGGUAAAGAAGCACCGGCUAACUACGUG